GUCGUGUGUCGCGGAAUGCU
Molecule: microRNA, 20 nt
Filed under: Spodoptera frugiperda (fall armyworm)
Lineage: Eukaryota; Metazoa; Arthropoda; Insecta; Lepidoptera; Noctuidae
Description: sfr-miR-10508b-3p
Source: miRBase by way of RNAcentral